GUGGGGAAUAUUGCGCAAUGGGGGAAACCCUGACGCAGCGACGCCGUGUGAGGGAAGAAGGCUUUCGGGUCGUAAACCUCUGUCAGAAAGGAAGAACCUCCCAAGUCCGAAUAGGGCUUGGGACUGACGGUACUUUCAAAGGAAGCACCGGCUAACUCCGUGCCAGCAGCCGCGGUAAUACGGAGGGUGCAAGCGUUAAUCGGAAUCACUGGGCGUAAAGCGCGCGUAGGCCGCUUUGUAAGUCGGACGUGAAAGCCCUCGGCUCAACCGGGGAACUGUGUUCGAUACUGCGAGGCUUGAGUCCUGGAGAGGGUGGCGGAAUUCCGGGUGUAGGAGUGAAAUCCGUAGAUAUCCGGAGGAACACCGGUGGCGAAGGCGGCCACCUGGACAGGUACUGACGCUGAGGCGCGAAAGCGUGGGGAGCAAACAGGAUUAGAAACCCGUGUAGUCC
RNAcentral lists this ribosomal RNA (451 nucleotides) under uncultured bacterium. RNAcentral describes it as "partial 16S ribosomal RNA". It matches the Rfam family "Bacterial small subunit ribosomal RNA", at positions 354 to 796 of the family's 1533-position model. The record is from RNAcentral.